AUCGAGUCUUUGAACGCAAGUUGCGCCCGAAGCCAUUAGGCCGAGGGCACGCCUGCCUGGGCGUCACACGACGUUGCCCCCCCGACCAAUCCCUCGGGAUUGCGAGGGGGGGCGGAUGAUGGCCUCCCGUACGCUCCGUCGCGCGGUUGGCACAAACACCAAGUCCCCGGCGACGCACGCCACGACAAUCGGUGGUUGCGAAACCUCGGUUGCCCGUCGUGCGCGGUCGUCGCGCGUCGGGGGCUCGAAAAAAAACGCUCGCCCGGCUACGGCUCGGCUUCGACG
This 285-nucleotide unclassified non-coding RNA is filed under the name Prunus amplifolia. RNAcentral's name for it is "internal transcibed spacer 2". Lineage: Eukaryota; Viridiplantae; Streptophyta; Magnoliopsida; Rosales; Rosaceae. The record is from RNAcentral.